Molecule: ribosomal RNA, 464 nt
Filed under: uncultured bacterium
Lineage: Bacteria
Description: bacterial SSU rRNA
Rfam family: Bacterial small subunit ribosomal RNA
Source: RNAcentral
CUACGGGAGGCAGCAGUAAGGAAUAUUGCGCAAUGGGCGAAAGUCUGACGCAGCGACGCCGCGUGGGUGAUGAAGGCCUUCGGGUUGUAAAGCCCUGUGGGGAGAGAAGAAUAAGUGCGGGCUAAUACCCCGCAUGAUGACGGUAUCUCCUUAGCAAGCACCGGCUAACUCUGUGCCAGCAGCCGCGGUAAGACAGAGGGUGCAAACGUUGUUCGGAAUUACUGGGCGUAAAGCGUGUGUAGGCGGUCUGAUAAGUCGGAUGUGAAAGCCCCAGGCUCAACCUGGGAAGUGCAUUCGAUACUCUCAAGCUAGAGUACUGGAGAGGUUGGUGGAAUUCUCGGUGUAGAGGUGAAAUUCGUAGAUAUCGAGAGGAACACCGGUGGCGAAGGCGGCCAACUGGACAGAUACUGACGCUGAGACUCGAAAGCGUGGGGAGCAAACAGGAUUAGAAACCCUGGUAGUCC